UUAUGAUUCGGCUUUCAAUACAAAUAAUCUUGUUUCAGGGAGAUAGGCAAUUUUCUUUUAGAUUAAUUAAGAUUUUAUAUUUGACUUAUGGGAGAUGGUUCAAAGGAAUUAAUAUUCAUACUUUUAGAAUAUUUUUAUGCUCAGAUUAAACAUGACGUGUUAACAUUAAUCAGUAGAAUUUGAGACAAUUUUAUGUAAGAAUAUUAAUCAUUCAAUCAAGGAUACAAUGAUUAUACUAAAUGAAACACUUCAAAGAUCAGAUUUAUUAAUCUUAGAUUUUAGAAUAGUCUUGAGAAUUACUUAUAAAGAAAAAACAAUCCGUUGUUAUAAAACUUUUUAGUAGAAUUUCCAUUAUGAUCACGACACAUUAAUCAUUUAUGAUUGAAACAUAUGAUGCAUACAUGCGACUUAUAGAGUAAAUCAUAAUAUAUUUCAAAUAAUCACAUAAGGAAUGAGUGAUAUAAUGAUAAAUUAUACUCAUACCUUCACAAAUAAUGAAAUAAGAUUUCAUAUAAGUAUUAUGCUCAAUAAAGUUUUAGCAUGAAAUGAACAUCAAACAUUUAUACUAGAGAGGGAAUU
This 579-nucleotide long non-coding RNA is filed under the name Phoenix dactylifera (date palm). RNAcentral's name for it is "long non-coding RNA (PDAC_LNC001901)". The record is from RNAcentral. Lineage: Eukaryota; Viridiplantae; Streptophyta; Magnoliopsida; Arecales; Arecaceae.